AACGCACCUUGCACCCUUUGGUAUUCCGAAGGGUACACCUGUUUGAGCAUCGUGAACUUCCUCCACCCUCGGGGGUUUGUCGAAAGGCGAACCCCUUCGAGAGGUUGGGACUUGGGGGUGUUUUGCGGGUCGGGUCGACGUCCGCUCCCCUUGAAUGCAUUAGCGAUCGCCCCUUCGUGGCCUCCUUUGGUGUUGAUAAACGUCUACGCCUCGGGGACGCGAACCCGUGUGGGAAAGGGUCGCUUCCAACCGUCUCCGAUGGAGACAAACCUCUCUUUGAACCUUGAUCUCAAAUCAGGUGGGACUACCCGCUGAACUUAA
This 321-nucleotide unclassified non-coding RNA is filed under the name uncultured fungus. RNAcentral's name for it is "partial contains 5.8S ribosomal RNA, internal transcribed spacer 2, and large subunit ribosomal RNA". The record is from RNAcentral. Lineage: Eukaryota; Fungi.